RNAcentral lists this long non-coding RNA (1022 nucleotides) under Calidris pygmaea (Spoon-billed sandpiper). RNAcentral describes it as "lncRNA (ENSCPGG00000015797.1)". Lineage: Eukaryota; Metazoa; Chordata; Aves; Charadriiformes; Scolopacidae. The record is from RNAcentral.
ACCUGCCUGGCUCUGCUGGUCCCCUGGGGUUCGGAGAGCUGGGGAGAAGCUGCAGCUCCCGGCCCGGCAGCGGCCGUACCCACACACGUCCUUCCAACUGCCUUUGAUAGAGAUAUUUCCUGAUGUGGCUUGGGUAGGAUAAGGAAUUGCAGUGACAUUUUGAAGAUCUUUUCUAAGCUAAAGUCCAUUUCUCAUGGGCUGUUCAAACUCUCCAGCCCAACCUGGUUUUGCUAUUUCAAAGGUAAGAGUUGAAUGCAGAGAGUCCAAAAGAAGCAAAAGAUUUAGAAAUAGCUCCGCAUUAGAGUUUCGAGGGGGAUUAUGAGAGGUUUUGUGCGUAAAACUCUGGUAUGAUCUCAGAGGAUGUUUUGAAAUCCCCAACAAAUUGCUUCUCACAGCGGCUGGAUUAAGGUCUGUGGAAUAAAUGCAGCUACCGGCCUGUGCUACAUCACGGAAAGGAAUGAGUAACAAAGCCUUUUAUUAUUCUAAUUAUUAUUGUUGUUUUUAUUAUUAUUAGUGAAACAGCUCACUGUUGGCAUAUAUUGUGAUUGUCUUUCAGCUCUCUUGUACACUUAUAACUACAAAGAUUAGAGACGCUCCUGUCAUGAGCACAUAACUCAUGCAGUCUCCCUCUGGCUUUCCUCUGGGUCACAAUGCCAAAGUUAAAACAGUCAGAAGAGAACAGACAAGCCUGAGGAUUUUGGUGAAGUCACUGUUUCCCACAGACCGUGCAGCAACUGGUGGCUACACAAAAAGAACAGAAAGCCAAAGCGGGGAGGUCAGGAUGUUUAUAAGGACCUGGAAUUCCAAAAAAAAAUUCAUUUUAUAUUUUAGUUUUGAUUAUUGCCACUUAAGCAUAAUGACAACAUCCAUCCUGUUAAAAGUUCGGUUUCAUUGGAAAUUGCUUUUUUUUUUUUUUUCGGUGAACCACUGCUAAUCAAAAAUGUAUGAGCUAUGCUUUCAUAAGUAAAAAACCAGUAAAAUAGUCUCAUAAGUGAAAUAAAAUAAAAAAUGGAGAGUGAACA